CAAUCAUUUGUCUCUGAGUGUAUUGAUCAGUAUCACGAAACAAUUCAUUAGAUUUUAAAACAUUAGCAACAGUAUCAUCGACGGACAAUAUGCUUUUGCGAAAACUAAUGACACCUUGAAAAGCAAUAUAGGAAAGCUCCGAAUGAUAGAGAUCUGGAUAGAGGGAGAUAACUACGCGAGGAUCAAUUUUGGAAGUUUCAAGCAAAGAGAGAGAAUUUUCAUACUGUCCUUGCUUCCAAUACUGUAAUGCCGAGAUUUGCUCCAAAUAAGCAGAUUGAAGAUAAGCGACAUCAUUGGUUAUUCCAUACUUCUUCGGAUUCCGCAAUCGCUUACUCACUCGACGCAGAGGGGCUUCAAUAUCGCCUAUGGUAAUACUGAAUUCUAGUUUGUUCAUAAAAUGAGCUUCAGCGCCAAACCCCCAAGAUUUAUUCGUAAGAAAAAUAAAUGAAGGCUUGCUAAAAGAAGCCCUUUCUAUCGUAUCAGAAGUUUUUGAGGUAGACGCAGUAUUCACAGCAGAGAAUUUACUAAAUAUUUGGCGAUCACAAAAAUGAACGCUUGUCAAUCGAGAAAUAAAAGAGAAACUUUCAUCAUCCUUCAGAUUAAUACUUUUAACAAGACUGAGAGUAUUUAUGUCGAUGAUCUGUAACGAACUAGAAGAAAUGGCGAACACAUAAUGAGAUGUAGAAAAAACAUGUUUUGGAUAAAAUGAAAAAGUUAGAGUGCUUCUUGUGACAUUCCCUUGGGAAUCUACAAAAAGCCCUAUGGCAUCUUUGGGACUACCGGUAAUCAAGAGAAAUUCAUUAGAAUGCAAAACAAUCAUGGGUUUGUACAUUAGCCCAUUAUUUUCCGAAUCGUAUUUGAUAAUGGGAAAGAGGGGAGUAGUAUCAAAGGUGAGAAUAUCCAAUAAUUCAAAGGAAUUUUCGGUAACUAGACAAACGAUAUGACCAUUCA
Molecule: non-coding RNA, 951 nt
Organism: Schizosaccharomyces pombe (fission yeast)
Lineage: Eukaryota; Fungi; Ascomycota; Schizosaccharomycetes; Schizosaccharomycetales; Schizosaccharomycetaceae
Source: the annotation of a GenBank genome assembly